UCGAGACAGGCGCCGGAGAAGACGAUGGAAUUCUCUGCUCGUAGGAGGAGGCGCUCGUCGCAGGAGGAGACGCUCGUCGCAGGUCGGAGGAGGAGAAGCUCGUCGCUCGUCGCAGGUCGCCGGAGGAGAAGCUCUUCGCCCGUCGCUCGUCGCUUGUUGCAGGUCGCAGGAGGAAGCUCGUCGCGGGGGGGUGAGGAAGCCCUGUUCGAGCACGAUCGAAGAAAUAAAAAAGGAACACAAUUUUGUUCCUUUUUUGUUUCUGAUUUGUG
This 269-nucleotide long non-coding RNA is filed under the name Eucalyptus grandis. Its description in RNAcentral is "long non-coding RNA (EGRA_LNC000650)". Lineage: Eukaryota; Viridiplantae; Streptophyta; Magnoliopsida; Myrtales; Myrtaceae. The record is from RNAcentral.